RNAcentral lists this ribosomal RNA (440 nucleotides) under uncultured bacterium. RNAcentral's name for it is "partial 16S ribosomal RNA". It matches the Rfam family "Bacterial small subunit ribosomal RNA", at positions 338 to 795 of the family's 1533-position model. The record is from RNAcentral.
CCUACGGGCGGCUGCAGUGGGGAAUAUUGCACAAUGGGGGAAACCCUGAUGCAGCGACGCCGCGUGAGUGAAGAAGUAUCUCGGUACGUAAAGCUCUAUCAGCAGGGAAGAAAAUGACGGUACCUGACUAAGAAGCCCCGGCCAACUACGUGCCAGCAGCCGAGGGAAUACGUAGGGGGCAAGCGUUAUCCGGAUUUACUGGGUGUAAAGGGAGCGUAGACGGCAGCACAAGUCUGGAGUGGAAUCCCGGGGCGUAACCCCGGUACUGCUUUGGAAACUGUGUGGCUUGAGUGCAGGAGGGGUAAGCGGAAUUCCUAGUGUAGCGGUGAAAUGCGUAGAUAUUAGGCGGAACACCGGUGGCGAAGGCGGCUUACUGGACUGUGACUGACGUUGAGGCUCGAAAGCGUGGGGAGCGAACAGGAUUAGAUACCCUAGUAGUC